RNAcentral lists this ribosomal RNA (881 nucleotides) under Laccaria alba. RNAcentral's name for it is "LSU rRNA". It matches the Rfam family "Eukaryotic large subunit ribosomal RNA", at positions 65 to 929 of the family's 3401-position model. Lineage: Eukaryota; Fungi; Basidiomycota; Agaricomycetes; Agaricales; Hydnangiaceae. The record is from RNAcentral.
CUAACAAGGAUUCCCCUAGUAACUGCGAGUGAAGCGGGAAAAGCUCAAAUUUAAAAUCUGGCAGUCUUUGGCUGUCCGAGUUGUAAUCUAGAGAAGUAUUAUCCGCGCUGGACCGUGUACAAGUCUCCUGGAAUGGAGCGUCAUAGAGGGUGAGAAUCCCGUCUUUGACACGGACUGCCAGGGCUUUGUGAUGUGCUCUCGAAGAGUCGAGUUGUUUGGGAAUGCAGCUCAAAAUGGGUGGUAAAUUCCAUCUAAAGCUAAAUAUUGGCGAGAGACCGAUAGCGAACAAGUACCGUGAGGGAAAGAUGAAAAGAACUUUGGAAAGAGAGUUAAACAGUACGUGAAAUUGCUGAAAGGGAAACGCUUGAAGUCAGUCGCAUUGGCCAGGGAUCAACCUUGCUUUUUUGCUUGGCUUACUUUCUGGUUGAUGGGUCAGCAUCAAUUUUGACUGGUAGAAAAAGUUCAAGGGAAUGUGGCAUCUUUCGGAUGUGUUAUAGCCUUUGUUCACAUAUAUCAGUUGGGAUUGAGGAACUCAGCACGCCGCAAGGCCGGGUUUUUAACCACGUACGUGCUUAGGAUGCUGGCAUAAUGGCUUUAAUCGACCCGUCUUGAAACACGGACCAAGGAGUCUAACAUGCCUGCAAGUGUUUGGGUGAAAAACCCGAGCGCGUAAUGAAAGUGAAAGUUGAGAUCCCUGUCAUGGGGAGCAUUGACGCCCGGAUCUGACCUUUUGUGACGAUUCUGCGGUAGAGCAUGUAUGUUGGGACCCGAAAGAUGGUGAACUAUGCCUGAAUAGGGUGAAGCCAGAGGAAACUCUGGUGGAGGCUCGUAGCGAUUCUGACGUGCAAAUCGAUCGUCAAAAUUUGGGUAUAGGGCGAAAG